This 426-nucleotide unclassified non-coding RNA is filed under the name Hevea brasiliensis (rubber tree). Lineage: Eukaryota; Viridiplantae; Streptophyta; Magnoliopsida; Malpighiales; Euphorbiaceae. The record is from RNAcentral.
GCAAUACUCUUUCAUUUCCAUCUUUGUGUUAAUUUCCUCCAUCCAUUACUUCCCUCUAUUUAUUAUUAUUCCUUUCAAUAUUCCUCUCUUUCCAUUUUAUUCAUAAAAAAUAAAAACUAAAAAAAGUUGAAAGUCAUCUGAGGAUUUGCAGGUGCAAUGGCUCAACGUGUUCUAACUCGUGUUCACAGUCUUCGUGAACGUCUUGAUGCUACUUUGGAUGCUCAUCGCAAUGAAAUUUUGCUCUUUCUUUCAAGGAUCGAAAGCCACGGGAAAGGGAUCUUGAAACCUCACCAGCUACUGGCUGAGUUUGAAUCAAUUCAGAAAGAAGACAAAGACAAACUGAAUGAUCAUGCCUUUGAAGAAGUCCUGAAAUCCACUCAGGAAGCAAUUGUUUUGCCCCCAUGGGUUGCACUUGCUAUUCGUUUG